Molecule: ribosomal RNA, 496 nt
Filed under: uncultured bacterium
Lineage: Bacteria
Description: partial 16S ribosomal RNA
Rfam family: Bacterial small subunit ribosomal RNA
Source: RNAcentral
GACGAACGCUGGCGGCGUGCCUAAUACAUGCAAGUCGAGCGCUGAGGGUUGGUACUUGUACCUACUGCAUGAGCAGCGAACGGGUGAGUAACGCGUGGGGAACCUGCCUUUGAGCGGGGGACAACUUCGGGAAACGAAUGCUAAUACCGCAUAAAAACUUUAAACACAAGUUUUAAGUUUGAAAGAUGCAAUUGCAUCACUCAAAGAUGGUCCCGCGUCGUAUUAGCUAGUUGGUGAGGUAAAGGCUGACCAAGGCGAUGAGACGUAGCCGACCGGGGAGGGGGAUCGGCCAAACGGGAACGCAGACACGGUCCAGAAUCCUACGGGCGGCAGCAGUAGGGAAUCUUACGCAAUGGGCGAAAGCCUGACGGAGCAACGCCGCGGGAGUGAGGAAGGUCUUCGGAUCGUAAAACUCUGUUAUUAGGGAAGAACAAAUGUGUAAGUAACUAUGCACGUCUGGACGGUACCUAAUCAGAAAGCCACGGCUAACUACGUG